RNAcentral lists this ribosomal RNA (169 nucleotides) under uncultured bacterium. RNAcentral describes it as "partial 16S ribosomal RNA". It matches the Rfam family "Bacterial small subunit ribosomal RNA", at positions 338 to 524 of the family's 1533-position model. The record is from RNAcentral.
CCUACGGGAGGCAGCAGUGGGGAAUCUUGCGCAAUGGGCGAGAGCCUGACGCAGCCAUGCCGCGUGAAUGAUGAAGGUCUUAGGAUUGUAAAAUUCUUUCACCGGGGACGAUAAUGACGGUACCCGGAGAAGAAGCCCCGGCUAACUUCGUGCCAGCAGCCGCGGUAAU